Molecule: ribosomal RNA, 2220 nt
Filed under: Listeria monocytogenes
Lineage: Bacteria; Bacillati; Bacillota; Bacilli; Caryophanales; Listeriaceae
Description: partial 23S ribosomal RNA
Rfam family: Bacterial large subunit ribosomal RNA
Source: RNAcentral
CUGAGUACGGCGGAACACGUGAAAUUCCGUCGGAAUCCGGGAGGACCAUCUCCCAAGGCUAAAUACUCCCUAGUGACCGAUAGUGAACCAGUACCGUGAGGGAAAGGUGAAAAGCACCCCGGAAGGGGAGUGAAACAGUUCCUGAAACCGUGUGCCUACAAGUAGUUAGAGCCCGUUAAUGGGUGAUAGCGUGCCUUUUGUAGAAUGAACCGGCGAGUUACGAUUUGUUGCAAGGUUAAGCGGAAAAAGCGGAGCCGUAGCGAAAGCGAGUCUGAAUAGGGCGCAUAAGUAACAGGUCGUAGACCCGAAACCAGGUGAUCUACCCAUGUCCAGGAUGAAGGUAAGGUAAUACUUACUGGAGGUCCGAACCCACGCACGUUGAAAAGUGCGGGGAUGAGGUGUGGGUAGCGGAGAAAUUCCAAUCGAACUUGGAGAUAGCUGGUUCUCUCCGAAAUAGCUUUAGGGCUAGCCUCGAGGUAAAGAGUCAUGGAGGUAGAGCACUGUUUGGACUAGGGGCCCUUCUCGGGUUACCGAAUUCAGAUAAACUCCGAAUGCCAUGUACUUAUACUCGGGAGUCAGACUGCGAGUGAUAAGAUCCGUAGUCGAAAGGGAAACAGCCCAGACCACCAGUUAAGGUCCCCAAAUAUAUGUUAAGUGGAAAAGGAUGUGGGGUUGCUUAGACAACCAGGAUGUUGGCUUAGAAGCAGCCACCAUUGAAAGAGUGCGUAAUAGCUCACUGGUCGAGUGACCCCGCGCCGAAAAUGUACCGGGGCUAAACAUAUUACCGAAACUGUGGAUGAACCUCUUUAGAGGUUCGUGGUAGGAGAGCGUUCUAAGGGCGGUGAAGUCAGACCGGAAGGACUGGUGGAGCGCUUAGAAGUGAGAAUGCCGGUAUGAGUAGCGAAAGAAGGGUGAGAAUCCCUUCCACCGAAUAUCUAAGGUUUCCUGAGGAAGGCUCGUCCGCUCAGGGUUAGUCGGGACCUAAGCCGAGGCCGAUAGGCGUAGGCGAUGGACAACAGGUAGAGAUUCCUGUACCAGUGCUAAUUGUUUAACCGAUGGGGUGACACAGAAGGAUAGGGAAUCGCACGAAUGGAAAUGUGCGUCCAAGCAGUGAGUGUGAGAAGUAGGCAAAUCCGCUUCUCGCGAAGCAUGAGCUGUGAUGGGGAAGGAAAUUAAGUACGGAAGUUCCUGAUUUCACGCUGUCAAGAAAAGCCUCUAGGAAGAGUAGUACUGCCCGUACCGCAAACCGACACAGGUAGAUGAGGAGAGAAUCCUAAGGUGAGCGAGAGAACUCUCGUUAAGGAACUCGGCAAAAUGACCCCGUAACUUCGGGAGAAGGGGUGCUCUAUUAGGGUGCAAGCCCGAGAGAGCCGCAGUGAAUAGGCCCAGGCGACUGUUUAGCAAAAACACAGGUCUCUGCAAAACCGUAAGGUGACGUAUAGGGGCUGACGCCUGCCCGGUGCUGGAAGGUUAAGAGGAGUGCUUAGCUUCGGCGAAGGUACGAAUUGAAGCCCCAGUAAACGGCGGCCGUAACUAUAACGGUCCUAAGGUAGCGAAAUUCCUUGUCGGGUAAGUUCCGACCCGCACGAAAGGCGCAACGAUCUGGGCACUGUCUCAACGAGAGACUCGGUGAAAUUAUAGUACCUGUGAAGAUGCAGGUUACCCGCGACAGGACGGAAAGACCCCGUGGAGCUUUACUGCAACCUGAUAUGGAAUGUUUGUACCGCUUGUACAGGAUAGGUAGGAGCCGAAGAGACGUGUGCGCUAGCAUACGAGGAGGCAAUGGUGGGAUACUACCCUGGCUGUAUGACCAUUCUAACCCGCCACGCUUAGCGCGUGGGGAGACAGUGUCAGGUGGGCAGUUUGACUGGGGCGGUCGCCUCCUAAAGAGUAACGGAGGCGCCCAAAGGUUCCCUCAGAAUGGAUGGAAAUCAUUCGCAGAGUGUAAAGGCACAAGGGAGCUUGACUGCGAGACUGACAAGUCGAGCAGGGACGAAAGUCGGGCUUAGUGAUCCGGUGGUUCCGCAUGGAAGGGCCAUCGCUCAACGGAUAAAAGCUACCCCGGGGAUAACAGGCUUAUCUCCCCCAAGAGUCCACAUCGACGGGGAGGUUUGGCACCUCGAUGUCGGCUCGUCGCAUCCUGGGGCUGUAGUCGGUCCCAAGGGUUGGGCUGUUCGCCCAUUAAAGCGGCACGCGAGCUGGGUUCAGAACGUCGUGAGA